UGUAAAUCUUUCAAGAAAUAAUUUACUUUUGUUUUUUACUUCAUCAAAAUGUCCCUGCAGCGACGACACACUCUUCUUCAAAUGUGUCUCCAACAUCAACCUUAUCAACACCGCCUGCCAGUACAAAUGAGACUCAAGCAACACCUACAACACCCUCUACCAGUGCAAACACUUCUGAGUCUCAAACAACACCACAUACAACACCACCCUCCAGUACAAGCUCUUCUACAACUGAAACUCACACAACAGCAUCUACAACUCCCUCUACCAGUGCAAACACUUCUGAGUCCCAAACAACACUUCAUACAACCACUGCCACAGCACACUCUUCUUCAACUGAGCCAACAACAUUAACUACUUCAGGUCAGUAUUUUGAUUCAUGGACUACAGUGUCAAAAUAAAACAUACAAUUAUAAAAUAAACUUGCAAUACAUAAUUUCAUUGUAUGCAAAAAUGUCUUUGUAAGCUUGUCAGAUUUAAGUAAUUUUUUAUUAUUUUUGGAGUCAUUUAAUAGAGAAGGUAAAAUGCUAACUAUUUUUUUUAUCAUAACGCAGGAUCUAAAUCCAUUUUAUUGUAGCACAACUUUUUGUUUAGUUUUGAAGUUCAACAGUAUAUGAGAGUAACAGUUUUUUUUAUCUUUUAUUUCAAAACUUAUUUUCUGAACUUCCCUCAAGUCAUUUUCUUUCUCC
Molecule: long non-coding RNA, 689 nt
Filed under: Danio rerio (zebrafish)
Lineage: Eukaryota; Metazoa; Chordata; Actinopteri; Cypriniformes; Danionidae
Description: lncRNA (ENSDARG00000117601.1)
Source: RNAcentral